GCCUACGGGAGGCAGCAGUGAGGAAUAUUGGUCAAUGGGCUUACGCCUGAACCAGCCAAGUCGCGUGAGGGAAGACUGCCCUAUGGGUUGUAAACCUCUUUUGUCAGGGAGCAACGCCGGCUACGUGUAGCCGGACUGAGAGUACCUGAAGAAAAAGCAUCGGCUAACUCCGUGCCAGCAGCCGCGGUAAUACGGAGGAUGCGAGCGUUAUCCGGAUUUAUUGGGUUUAAAGGGUGCGUAGGCGGUUUUUUAAGUUAGUGGUUAAACGUCGGGGCUUCACCUUGAUUUGCCAUUAAUACUGUAAG
Molecule: ribosomal RNA, 305 nt
Filed under: uncultured bacterium
Lineage: Bacteria
Description: bacterial SSU rRNA
Rfam family: Bacterial small subunit ribosomal RNA
Source: RNAcentral